Molecule: non-coding RNA, 442 nt
Organism: Arachis ipaensis
Lineage: Eukaryota; Viridiplantae; Streptophyta; Magnoliopsida; Fabales; Fabaceae
Source: RefSeq, a predicted model, not a curated record
GCUCGCCCACGGCCCGUCCCUGCAGCCGGUCGGUGUCGUCACAGCCACCGAGCUCACCUCUUCAGCUCUUCUCUAAGGACCACAGCCUCUGCUCAACUGCUUCGGUCACCUCGCCGCUGUCCCUUACUGAGCUCACGUCAGCGUCACUCCCACUUCUCUCCUCUCCGUCACUGUCCUUGCUGUCACUCUCCUCGCCAGCUCGCCUCUCCCGUUUACAGUCUCUGGUCUCUGCUUGCCUCUCCCUCAUCGUCUCUCCGCUAACUGGUUUGUUAAAUGGUGGAAGAACAAGAAUAAUAAUUGAAGACUCUUUUGAUGCAAUUUCUUUAUUAUGCUGUUAAAUUUAUAGUGAUUAAACAUUAAUCUUUUUUUAAUUUCAAGUUAUUUGACAUUGUAUGAAUCUUAUGUUUGUAUUUUAAUUUAGUUAUGAAUUUUAAGUUUUUAU